This 478-nucleotide ribosomal RNA is filed under the name uncultured bacterium. Its description in RNAcentral is "partial 16S ribosomal RNA". It matches the Rfam family "Bacterial small subunit ribosomal RNA", at positions 28 to 507 of the family's 1533-position model. The record is from RNAcentral.
GAUGAACGCUGGCGGCGUGCUUAACACAUGCAAGUCGAACGAGAAGUGGAGACGGACACCUUCGGGCGGAAGACUUUACUUCGAGUGGCGGACGGGUGAGUAACGCGUGGGUAACCUGCCUCAUACAGGGGGAUAACAGUUGGAAACGACUGUUAAUACCGCAUAAGACCACAGCGCCGCAUGGUGCGGGGGUAAAAACUCCGGUGGUAUGAGAUGGACCCGCGUUCGAUUAGCCAGUUGGCGGGGUAACGGCCCACCAAAGCGACGAUCGAUAGCCGAUCUGAGAGGAUGACCGGCCACAUUGGGACUGAGACACGGCCCAAACUCCUACGGGAGGCAGCAGUGGGGAAUAUUGCACAAUGGGGGAAACCCUGAUGCAGCGACGCCGCGUGAGUGAAGAAGUAUUUCGGUAUGUAAAGCUCUAUCAGCAGGGAAGAAAAUGACAGUACCUGAGUAAGAAGCCCCGGCUAACUACGUG